AGUGAACGCUGGCGGUAGGCCUAACACAUGCAAGUCGAACGGCAGCACAGUAAGAGCUUGCUCUUACGGGUGGCGAGUGGCGGACGGGUGAGGAAUACAUCGGAAUCUACUUUUUCGUGGGGGAUAACGUAGGGAAACUUACGCUAAUACCGCAUACGACCUACGGGUGAAAGCAGGGGAUCUUCGGACCUUGCGCGAUUGAAUGAGCCGAUGUCGGAUUAGCUAGUUGGCGGGGUAAAGGCCCACCAAGGCGACGAUCCGUAGCUGGUCUGAGAGGAUGAUCGGCCACACUGGAACUGAGACACGGUCCAGACUCCUACGGGAGGCAGCAGUGGGGAAUAUUGGACAAUGGGCGCAAGCCUGACCCAGCAAUACCGCGUGGGUGAAGAAGGCCUUCGGGUUGUAAAGCCCUUUUGCUGGGAAAGAAAAGCAGCAGGUUAAUACCCCGCUGUUCUGACGGUACCCAAAGAAUAAGCACCGGCUAACUUCGUG
Molecule: ribosomal RNA, 492 nt
Filed under: uncultured bacterium
Lineage: Bacteria
Description: partial 16S ribosomal RNA
Rfam family: Bacterial small subunit ribosomal RNA
Source: RNAcentral